GGGGCUUUAGCUCAGUGGUAGAGUGCUUGCCUUUCAUGCGUGAGGCCCUGGGUUUGAUCCCCAGCACCA
This 69-nucleotide transfer RNA is filed under the name Ictidomys tridecemlineatus (thirteen-lined ground squirrel). Its description in RNAcentral is "Spermophilus tridecemlineatus (thirteen-lined ground squirrel) tRNA". It matches the Rfam family "tRNA". From Rfam's summary of the family: Transfer RNA (tRNA) molecules are approximately 80 nucleotides in length. Their secondary structure includes four short double-helical elements and three loops (D, anti-codon, and T loops). Lineage: Eukaryota; Metazoa; Chordata; Mammalia; Rodentia; Sciuridae. The record is from Rfam by way of RNAcentral.